GCUCAGGAUGAACGCUGGCGACGUGCUUAACACAUGCAAGUCGAACGAUGAAGCCCAGCUUGCUGGGUGGAUUAGUGGCGAACGGGUGAGUAACACGUGAGUAACCUGCCCCUGACUCUGGGAUAAGCCCGGGAAACUGGGUCUAAUACCGGAUAUGACCAUGGGACGCAUGUCUUGUGGUGGAAAGAUUUAUCGGUUGGGGAUGGACUCGCGGCCUAUCAGCUUGUUGGUGAGGUAAUGGCUCACCAAGGCGACGACGGGUAGCCGGCCUGAGAGGGUGACCGGCCACACUGGGACUGAGACACGGCCCAGACUCCUACGGGAGGCAGCAGUGGGGAAUAUUGCACAAUGGGCGCAAGCCUGAUGCAGCGACGCCGCGUGAGGGAUGACGGCCUUCGGGUUGUAAACCUCUUUCAGUAGGGAAGAAGCGAGAGUGACGGUACCUGCAGAAGAAGCGCCGGCUAACUACGUGCCAGCAGCCGCGGUAAUACGUAGGGCGCAAGCGUUAUCCGGAUUUAUUGGGCGUAAAGAGCUCGUAGGCGGUUUGUCGCGUCUGCCGUGAAAGUUCGAGGCUCAACCUGGGAUCUGCGGUGGGUACGGGCAGACUAGAGUGAUGUAGGGGAGACUGGAAUUCCUGGUGUAGCGGUGAAAUGCGCAGAUAUCAGGAGGAACACCGAUGGCGAAGGCAGGUCUCUGGGCAUUUACUGACGCUGAGGAGCGAAAGACAUGGGGAGCGAACAGGAUUAGAUACCCUGGUAGUCCAUGCCGUAAACGUUGGGCACUAGGUGUGGGGGACAUUCCACGUUUUCCGCGCCGUAGCUAACGCAUUAAGUGCCCCGCCUGGGGAGUACGGCCGCAAGGCUAAAACUCAAAGGAAUUGACGGGGGCCCGCACAAGCGGAGGAGCAUGCGGAUUAAUUCGAUGCAACGCGAAGAACCUUACCAAGGCUUGACAUGUUCCACACCGCCUCAUAGAUGGGGUUUCCCUUCAGAGCUGGUUCACAGGUGGUGCAUGGUUGUCGUCAGCUCGUGUCGUGAGAUGUUGGGUUAAGUCCCGCAACGAGCGCAACCCUCGUUCCAUGUUGCCACCGGGUUAUGCCGGGGACUCAUGGGAUACUGCCGAGGUCAACUCGGAAGAAGGGGGGGGAUGACGUCAAAUCAUCAUGCCCCUUAUGUCUUGGGCUUCACGCAUGCUACAAUGGCCGGUACAAUGGGUUGCGAUACUGGGAGGAGGAGCUAAUCCCUAAAAGCCGGUCUCAGUUCGGAUUGGGGUCUGCAACUCUACCCCAUGAAGUCAGAGUCGCUAGUAAUCGCAGAUCAUGCAACGCUGCAGUGAAUACCUUCCCGUGCCUUGUACACACCGUCCGUCAAGUCACGAGAGUUGGUCACACCCGAAUCCGAUGGCUAACCGCUUGUGAUGACGGCAG
This 1426-nucleotide ribosomal RNA is filed under the name Arthrobacter sp. RH-19. Its description in RNAcentral is "16S ribosomal RNA". It matches the Rfam family "Bacterial small subunit ribosomal RNA". The record is from RNAcentral. Lineage: Bacteria; Bacillati; Actinomycetota; Actinomycetes; Micrococcales; Micrococcaceae.